Molecule: small nuclear RNA, 103 nt
Filed under: Oryza longistaminata (longstamen rice)
Lineage: Eukaryota; Viridiplantae; Streptophyta; Magnoliopsida; Poales; Poaceae
Source: RNAcentral
GUCUCUUCGGGGACAUCCGAUAAAAUUGAAACGAUACAUAGAAGAUUAGCAUGGCCUCCGCGCAAGCAUGAUGCGCACAAAUUGAGAAAUGGUCCAAGUUUUG